CCUACGGGAGACAGCAGUGAGGAAUAUUGGUCAAUGGGCGGAAGCCUGAACCAGCCAAGUAGCGUGCAGGAUGACGGCCCUACGGGUUGUAAACUGCUUUUAUACGGGAAUAACGCGCCUUACGUGUAGGGCUUUGCAUGUACCGUAUGAAUAAGGACCGGCUAAUUCCGUGCCAGCAGCCGCGGUAAUACGGAAGGUCCGGGCGUUAUCCGGAUUUAUUGGGUUUAAAGGGAGCGUAGGCCGCAUGUCAAGCGUGCUGUGAAAUGUCCGGGCUCCACCCGGGCCUUGCGGCGCGAACUGGCGUGCUUGAGGGCGCGGAAGGCAGGCGGAAUGCGGCGUGUAGCGGUGAAAUGGUUAGAUAUGACGAAGAACCCCGAUUGCGAAGGCAGCUUGCUGCAGCGGAACUGACGCUGAUGCGCGAAAGCGCGGGUAUCGAACAGGAUGAGAUACCCUGGUAGUG
This 460-nucleotide ribosomal RNA is filed under the name uncultured bacterium. RNAcentral's name for it is "partial 16S ribosomal RNA". It matches the Rfam family "Bacterial small subunit ribosomal RNA", at positions 338 to 795 of the family's 1533-position model. The record is from RNAcentral.